UUAAAGUUGUUGCAGUUAAAAAGCUMGUAGYUGAACCUUGGGCCUGGCUGGCCGGUCCGCCUCGCCGCGUGCACUGGUCCGGCCGGGUCUUUACCUUCAUGGGGAGCCGCAUGCCCUUCACUGGGUGUGUGCGGGGAACCAGGACUUUUACUUUGAAAAAAUUAGAGUGUUCAAAGCAGGCCUAUGCUCGAAUACAUUAGCAUGGAAUAAUA
This 212-nucleotide ribosomal RNA is filed under the name uncultured eukaryote. RNAcentral describes it as "partial 18S ribosomal RNA". It matches the Rfam family "Eukaryotic small subunit ribosomal RNA", at positions 606 to 830 of the family's 1831-position model. The record is from RNAcentral.